AUUGAACGCUGGCGGCAGGCCUAACACAUGCAAGUCGAGCGAGCGGCGGACGGGUGAGUAAUGUAUGGGGAACUGCCUGAUAGAGGGGGAUAACUACUGGAAACGGUGGCUAAUACCGCAUACGAUCGGAUGAACCCAUAUGGGAUUAGCUAGUAGGGGGGGUAAAGGCUCACCAAGGCGACGAUCUCUAGCUGGUCUGAGAGGAUGAUCAGCCACAUUGGGACGGUGACACGGCCCAGAGUCCUGCAUGAGGGAGCAGUGGAGAAUAUUGCACAAUGGACGAAAGCCUGAUGCAGCCAUGCCGCGUGUAUGAAGAAGGCCUUAGGGUUGUAAAGUACUUUCAGCGGGGAGGCGUUACCCGCAGAAGAAGCACCGGCUAACUCCGUGCCAGCAGCCGCGGUAAGUC
Molecule: ribosomal RNA, 406 nt
Filed under: uncultured bacterium
Lineage: Bacteria
Description: partial 16S ribosomal RNA
Rfam family: Bacterial small subunit ribosomal RNA
Source: RNAcentral